Molecule: ribosomal RNA, 464 nt
Filed under: uncultured bacterium
Lineage: Bacteria
Description: partial 16S ribosomal RNA
Rfam family: Bacterial small subunit ribosomal RNA
Source: RNAcentral
CUACGGGUUGCAGCAGUGAGGAAUUUUGCGCAAUGGGCGCAAGCCUGAUGCAGCCAUGCCGCGUGUAUGAAGAAGGCCUUCGGGUUGUAAAGUACUUUCAGCGGGGAGGAAGGGAGUAAAGUUAAUACCUUUGCUCAUUGACGUUACCCGCAGAAGAAGCACCGGCUAACUCCGUGCCAGCAGCCGCGGUAAUACGGAGGGUGCAAGCGUUAAUCGGAAUUACUGGGCGUAAAGCGCACGCAGGCGGUUUGUUAAGUCAGAUGUGAAAUCCCCGGGCUCAACCUGGGAACUGCAUCUGAGACUGGAUAGCUUGAGUCUCGUAGAGGGGGGUAGAAUUCCAGGUGUAGCGGUGAAAUGCGUAGAGAUCUGGAGGAAUACCGGUGGCGAAGGCGGCCCCCUGGACGAAGACUGACGCUCAGGUGCGAAAGCGUGGGGAGCAAACAGGAUUAGAUACCCCCGUAGUC